UGUUGGUAUCUUAGUGGCGGACGGGUGAGUAACGCGUGGGUAACCUGCCUUACACUGGGGGAUAACACUUAGAAAUAGGUGCUAAUACCGCAUAACAGGGAAAGAUGCAUGUCUUUUCCUUAAAAACUCCGGUGGUGUAAGAUGGACCCGCGUCUGAUUAGCUAGUUGGCGGGGUAACGGCCCACCAAGGCGACGAUCAGUAGCCGGCCUGAGAGGGUGAACGGCCACAUUGGGACUGAGACACGGCCCAAACUCCUACGGGAGGCAGCAG
Molecule: ribosomal RNA, 271 nt
Filed under: uncultured bacterium
Lineage: Bacteria
Description: partial 16S ribosomal RNA
Rfam family: Bacterial small subunit ribosomal RNA
Source: RNAcentral